GGAAUCUGAAAGGUAUUCAAAGGAAAGGCUAUUUCCAAAUUUUAAUGAAUGCUGAGUGCUACCCUUUGCCAAGACUGAUCAAGUAUAAGGGUAGGCAGAGUUGAUUAUGGGCUCAACUUCAAGAUGCAACUGUCAACUGAGACAUUCCUUUUGGAUUGCUAACAGGGAAAUGACGUUAGACAAAAAGCAAGUUCCUGCAAUUUUCUUAUUCAAGUUCAAAAUGUGUUAUAAAGCAGCGGAGACAACUAGCAACAUCAACAAUGCAUUUGCGCCAGGAACUGGCUAACAACGUACAGG
Bubalus bubalis (water buffalo) is the source of this 297-nucleotide long non-coding RNA. RefSeq lists it as uncharacterized. The record is from RefSeq and is a predicted model, not a curated record. NCBI's taxonomy places the organism in Eukaryota, Metazoa, Chordata, Mammalia, Artiodactyla, Bovidae. The transcript is spliced from 3 exons.